This 73-nucleotide transfer RNA is filed under the name Actinomycetota bacterium. Its description in RNAcentral is "tRNA-Glu". It matches the Rfam family "tRNA". From Rfam's summary of the family: Transfer RNA (tRNA) molecules are approximately 80 nucleotides in length. Their secondary structure includes four short double-helical elements and three loops (D, anti-codon, and T loops). Lineage: Bacteria; Bacillati; Actinomycetota. The record is from RNAcentral.
GGCCCCGUCGUCUAGCGGCCCAGGACACUGCCCUCUCAAGGCAGAGACGUGGGUUCAAAUCCCAUCGGGGCUA